Molecule: long non-coding RNA, 3134 nt
Organism: Eriocheir sinensis (Chinese mitten crab)
Lineage: Eukaryota; Metazoa; Arthropoda; Malacostraca; Decapoda; Varunidae
Exons: 3
Source: RefSeq, a predicted model, not a curated record
UCCUACAUUGAAGAAGGAAAAUGUUGUUAUUGAAAAAGAUGUUGUAGAUAGGUAUGUUUGAAGUUAGUUUACUGGUAGGUUUUCAGGGUAGGCCUAUGCAUGGAUAACUGAGUAUUAGAAACAAAUCAGUACUAGACAAGUGGAGGAAGAGGCCCGCUGUUGAUGUGCCGAGGACCCCCAGUGGGUUAGGUAAUUGCUUCCGGCAAAGGCCUAUAACAAAUGUGUUGACAAAAUCCUUCAAUAUUAAGCUAGAGUUACCAUUGUUUGGUUACAACAUGGGAAAAUAGAGGGAGUUGAGGGGGGCACAGCAUUGAGAUAGGUUAGAGCUGUGUGUAGUACGAGCCUCCCAUAGCUCAGAGGGGCCAGCCUCAGACAGACUGGUUAAGGAGUGCUACGCGGCUCUCCCGCCUUGGUGGGCGCCGAUUUAAUCCCCGGGGCCGGCAAAACCUUCCCUUGUCUGGAUUAAUUUCUCGUGUGUUAAGUUACAGACUGUGCUCGUGUGAGAGUGUAGAAAAGAGAAAAUUCAGGGCGUUUCAUGUGGUCCACAACAGGGAUAUCGUGUGCUGGCCCCAGGCGCUGAAAAGUCACUCAUUUAGUGGUACAUAGGGUGCUUCGUGGUGCAGUGGUUAGCACACUCGGCUCACGACUGAGAGAGCCCAGGUUUGAUUCCCGGGCGGAGUGGAAAAAUUUGGGCGGCUUUUCUGAUACCCUACGCCCCUGUCCACCCAGCAGUGAAUGGGUACCAGCGUGAAGAUGUCAGGUCGUGACGCGGUCGGCGCACCUUCCAGAACGCCAACCAGGUGGUGGAGUUGACCACACGCACCAUUCCCAAGGCUCAACACCACCACCACCAGCGAGGACAUCAACACCAUUCACCACCACCAUUGAAACCAGAUCACACCACCACCACCAAGGUGCUCUAUGAAGGGUUUAGUGUCCAUGUCGUCAAGUCCAUCUCCCUCAAUCUGUUCUGGGACCAUUUUAGUUGCAGUUCUCUGUAUCCUUUCCAACUCCACAUACUCCACCACUUCUUCCCGCAAGCUGUUCCAUGUGUUAACACUUCUAUGUGAAAAACUUUAUUUUUUCCAGUCACUCAAACAGGUUCCUUUAUUAAGUUUCUUUCCGUGUCCUCUCAGCCCCUGCGUUACUGCUGAUAAGAAGAGAUCAUCCCUAUCUACCUCAUCAAACAGGGGGCUUCGUGGUGCAGUGGUUAGCACACUCGGCUCACAUCCGAGAGAGCCCAGGUUCGAUUCCCGGGCGGAGUUGAAAAAUUUGGGCGGCUUUUCCGAUACCCUACGCCCCUGUCCACCCAGCAGUGAAUGGGUACCAGGUAUUAAUAGGGGGUUGUGUCCCGUCUCCUGGGGUCUGUUCCCUUCUCCUAUAAUUCCUUCCCCUUCUGUCUCUCUCUGGCAUGUGACCACAGAUGUUGCACCCACUAAACCAAACUUUCCAACUGUUCCCUUCUCCUAUAAUUCCUUCCCCUUCUGUCUCUCCGGCAUAUGACCACAGAUGUUGCGCUGCCCACUAAACAAAACUUUCCAACUUUUUCCUCAUCAAACUUAUUUACCAACUUGUACAGUGCGAUCAGAUCUCCUCUCUCUCUUCUUUGUUCCAGUGUCGUCAAGUCCAUCUCCCUCAAUGUCUUCAUACGUCAUAUUCGAGAGUUCUGGGACCAUUUUGUUGCAAUUCUCUGUCUUGAGUCCAACAUAAUAAUCUUCCUUUGCAUGGUUUUUCCUUUUUUCCUUAUAUGCCUCAUCUUGGUAUUCAAAUCCUUCCAUAGUUUUCAUCUGUCAUAGUUGAUGGCCAUUCUUUCCUAAGGGGCACUCAUGACUGACUCCUUCAUCUAACUCAACAUUUUUUGUGAAAAUUAGGUCAAGUCUUGAUGGUUGGUCAUCCCCUCUUAGCCUUGUUUCUCCUUUAACCCACUGCAUCAACAGGCUAUCACAUCAGGUGUGUGUGUGUGUGUGUGUGUGUGUGUGUGUGUGUGUGUGUGUGUGUGUGUGUGUGUGUGUGUGUGUGUGUGUGUGUGUGUGUGUUUACCUAGUUGUAGUUUUACAGGGCCUGGGCUUUACGCUGGUGUAGUCCUGUCUCCGUAUCUACAUUUAUCCAACUUUUCCUUGAAGCCUUGCACACUCCUUUCUGAUACUACAUCCUCACUUAGUCUGUUCCAAACCUCUAUAUUUCUUUGCGGGAAGCUAUAUUUCUUUAUGUCUCUCAAGCAUCUUCCCUUCCUCAAUUUUUUACUGUGUCCUCUUGUGUUCCUGGCGGUAAUUUCUUCUUUUAGUGGUAACUCCUCGUUGUCUACUUCUUCCAUUUUGCUCAAUAAUUUGUAGAUUUGUAUUAGGUCUCCCGUUUCUCUUCUUUGUUCUAGUGUUGGUAAGUCCAUUUCCUUUAGUCUCUCCUCGUAUGUCAAUCCCUGGAACCAUUUUUGUUGCCAUCUUUUGUAUUCUUUCUAGUUUCUUGAUGUGUUUCUUCUUAUGGGGAGACCACACUGCCUCUGCAUGUGUGUGUGUGUGUGUGUGUGUGUGUGUGUGUGUGUGUGUGUGUGUGUGUAAGAUUGACUGACUGAUGAAUGAAUAACUGCGAUUAAGGUUGGUAUUACAAGACACUCUCCCUUCUCACAUCAGCUACUUCUAAAGGUCAAAGGGGGAUAUCAGUCAGGUUCUAAUGAGUGUUUUUCAGGCUCAUGGUACAGAAGAAGGGUUAAACUACCACCAGGGUCACAAAACUACUCCUGGAAAUGCCCACAACUCCUGCGAAAGCCUUGUCAAAUAGGUGUUCUUGGGCGGCAAAAUGUCUUCUAAUACGACCCUAAGUAAAUAACUUCCUGAUGGAGUGGAUGAUUGACUUGGCAACCAGUAGCUUUACUCUCAGCCAUUUCAAGUUCCCGACUGAUGUACUGACACCCUCAGAUUGGCUACAGUGAAGGUCGUGGCAGAGAGUGUACUCAAACUCCUACUGUGAGCUACUCCUGAUGCCUGCGCCCUCACCACCCCUGUGAAGGACGCCCAGCUGACCCAACCCUCCUCGGUGUGUGUUGAUGCUGGGACCAAGAAGAAGAAGAAGAGGAAGAGGAGGAGAAGGAAGAAGAUGGUAAUUGCAACAGAAGAUCAGAAGAAGAAGAGGAAGAAGAA